UUGGAGGGCAAGUCUGGUGCCAGCAGCCGCGGUAAUUCCAGCUCCAAUAGCGUAUAUUAAAGUUGUUGCAGUUAAAAAGCUCGUAGUUGAAUUUCGGGAUCAGUACGCUGGUCGUGCCUUCGGUAUGCACUGGUGUCACUGGUUCCUCCCUUCUGACGAACCGUCAUGCCAUUCACUUGGUGUGGCGGGAAAUCAGGACUGUUACUUUGAAAAAAUUAGAGUGUUUAAAGCAGGCUCACGCUUGAAUACAUUAGCAUGGAAUAAUGAAAUAGGACGUUGAUCUUAUUUUGUUGGUUUCUAGGAUUGACGUAAUGAUUAAUAGGGAUAGUUGGGGGCAUUAGUAUUCAAUUGUCAGAGGUGAAAUUCUUGGAUUUAUUGAAGACUAACUACUGCGAAAGCAUUUGCCAAGGAUGUUUUCAUUAAUCAAGAACGAAAGUUAGGGGAUCGAAGACGAUCAGAUACCGUCGUAGUCUUAACCAUAAACUAUGCCGACUAGGGAUCGGAUGAUGUUAAUUUUUUAAUGACUCAUUCGGCGCCUUACGGGAAAC
RNAcentral lists this ribosomal RNA (548 nucleotides) under uncultured Glomus. RNAcentral's name for it is "SSU rRNA". It matches the Rfam family "Eukaryotic small subunit ribosomal RNA", at positions 548 to 1098 of the family's 1831-position model. Lineage: Eukaryota; Fungi; Glomeromycota; Glomeromycetes; Glomerales; Glomeraceae. The record is from RNAcentral.